RNAcentral lists this ribosomal RNA (954 nucleotides) under uncultured bacterium. RNAcentral's name for it is "bacterial SSU rRNA". It matches the Rfam family "Bacterial small subunit ribosomal RNA", at positions 50 to 975 of the family's 1533-position model. The record is from RNAcentral.
CUAUCAUGCAGUUCGAGCGAACUGAUUAGAAGCUUGCUUCUAUGACGUUAGCGGCGGACGGGUGAGUAACACGUGGGCAACCUGCCUGUAAGACUGGGAUAACUUCGGGAAACCGAAGCUAAUACCGGAUAGGAUCUUCUCCUUCAUGGGAGAUGAUUGAAAGAUGGUUUCGGCUAUCACUUACAGAUGGGCCCGCGGUGCAUUAGCUAGUUGGUGAGGUAACGGCUCACCAAGGCAACGAUGCAUAGCCGACCUGAGAGGGUGAUCGGCCACACUGGGACUGAGACACGGCCCAGACUCCUACGGGAGGCAGCAGUAGGGAAUCUUCCGCAAUGGACGAAAGUCUGACGGAGCAACGCCGCGUGAGUGAUGAAGGCUUUCGGGUCGUAAAACUCUGUUGUUAGGGAAGAACAAGUACAAGAGUAACUGCUUGUACCUUGACGGUACCUAACCAGAAAGCCACGGCUAACUACGUGCCAGCAGCCGCGGUAAUACGUAGGUGGCAAGCGUUAUCCGGAAUUAUUGGGCGUAAAGCGCGCGCAGGCGGUUUCUUAAGUCUGAUGUGAAAGCCCACGGCUCAACCGUGGAGGGUCAUUGGAAACUGGGGAACUUGAGUGCAGAAGAGAAAAGCGGAAUUCCACGUGUAGCGGUGAAAUGCGUAGAGAUGUGGAGGAACACCAGUGGCGAAGGCGGCUUUUUGGUCUGUAACUGACGCUGAGGCGCGAAAGCGUGGGGAGCAAACAGGAUUAGAUACCCUGGUAGUCCACGCCGUAAACGAUGAGUGCUAAGUGUUAGAGGGGUUUCCGCCCUUUAGUGCUGCAGCUAACGCAUUAAAGCACUCCGCCUGGGGGAGUACGGUCGCAAGACUGAAACUCCAAAGGAAUUGACGGGGGCCCGCACAAGCGGUGGAGCAUGUGGGUUUAAUUUCGAAGCCAACGCGAAAAAACCUUUACC